This 497-nucleotide ribosomal RNA is filed under the name uncultured bacterium. Its description in RNAcentral is "partial 16S ribosomal RNA". It matches the Rfam family "Bacterial small subunit ribosomal RNA", at positions 28 to 507 of the family's 1533-position model. The record is from RNAcentral.
GAUGAACGCUGGCGGCGUGCCUAAUACAUGCCAGUCGAGCGAACGGACGAGAAGCUUGCUUCUCUGAUGUUAGCGGCGGACGGGUGAGUAACACGUGGAUAACCUACCUAUAAGACUGGGAUAACUUCGGGAAACCGGAGCUAAUACCGGAUAAUAUUUUGAACCGCAUGGUUCAAAAGUGAAAGACGGUCUUGCUGUCACUUAUAGAUGGAUCCGCGCUGCAUUAGCUAGUUGGUAAGGUAACGGCUUACCAAGGCAACGAUGCAUAGCCGACCUGAGAGGGUGAUCGGCCACACUGGGACUGAGACACGGUCCAGACUCCUACGGGAGGCAGCAGUAGGGAAUCUUCCGCAAUGGGCGAAAGCCUGACGGAGCAACGCCGCGUGAGUGAUGAAGGUCUUCGGAUCGUAAAACUCUGUUAUUAGGGAAGAACAUAUGUGUAAGUAACUGUGCACAUCUUGACGGUACCUAAUCAGAAAGCCACGGCUAACUACGUG